This 253-nucleotide ribosomal RNA is filed under the name uncultured bacterium. RNAcentral's name for it is "partial 16S ribosomal RNA". It matches the Rfam family "Bacterial small subunit ribosomal RNA", at positions 524 to 776 of the family's 1533-position model. The record is from RNAcentral.
UACGGGGGGGGCAAGCGUUGUUCGGAAUUACUGGGCGUAAAGGGCUCGUAGGUGGCCAACUAAGUCAGACGUGAAAUCCCCAGGCUUAACCUGGGAACUGCGUCUGAUACUGGAAGGCUCGAGUUCGGGAGAGGAAUGUGGAAUUCCAGGUGUAGCGGUGAAAUGCGUAGAUAUCUGGAGGAACACCGGUGGCGAAGGCGGCAUUCUGGACCGAAACUGACGCUGAGGCGCGAAAGCCAGGGGAGCAAACGGG